This 329-nucleotide long non-coding RNA is filed under the name Nicotiana benthamiana. RNAcentral's name for it is "long non-coding RNA (NBEN_LNC036344)". The record is from RNAcentral. Lineage: Eukaryota; Viridiplantae; Streptophyta; Magnoliopsida; Solanales; Solanaceae.
UAAUUUUUUCACAUGAUAAUCAUUAUAAGAAAUAAAUGUGAAGGCAAAUAAAUAUCAAGUUAAAUAUCGGAUGGAGCUCUUAUGCAUUCUGGUAUGCUUCAAUAUAGAUAAGUUGAGAUUAUAUGAUAUUGUACUAGCUAGUGCAAAUACCCACUGGAUAGGACUCCAAUAUCGACGACUGUGUUCUCUUUGGUCAGGGAAAAGCCUCAAUUUCUUCAAUCUGAACUUUAAAACAGUUUUUACCAAGUUCAGAAAUCACUUCAUGAGUCUAAAAACCCGUGUGAGAAGGACAUCAAGCCAUCUCUUCAGCGAAUAUGAUAUAAAAAAUG